Molecule: ribosomal RNA, 449 nt
Filed under: uncultured bacterium
Lineage: Bacteria
Description: bacterial SSU rRNA
Rfam family: Bacterial small subunit ribosomal RNA
Source: RNAcentral
UUUGAUCCUGGCUCAGAACGAACGCUGGCGGCAGGCCUAACACAUGCAAGUCGAGCGAGGACUUCGGUCCUAGCGGCGGACGGGUGAGUAACGCGUGGGAACGUGCCCUUUGGUACGGAAUAGCCCCGGGAAACUGGGAGUAAUACCGUAUGGUGUCUUCGGACUAAAGAUUUAUCGCCAAAGGAUCGGCCCGCGUUGGAUUAGGUAGUUGGUGGGGUAAUGGCCUACCAAGCCGACGAUCCAUAGCUGGUUUGAGAGGAUGAUCAGCAACACUGGGACUGAGACACGGCCCAGACUCCUACGGGAGGCAGCAGUGGGGAAUCUUAGACAAUGGGCGCAAGCCUGAUCUAGCCAUGCCGCGUGGACGAUGAAGGCCUUAGGGUUGUAAAGUCCUUUCAGAUGGGAAGAUAAUGACGGUACCAUCAGAAGAAGCCCCGGCUAACUCCGUG